RNAcentral lists this unclassified non-coding RNA (252 nucleotides) under uncultured Mortierellales. RNAcentral's name for it is "sequence contains ITS2". Lineage: Eukaryota; Fungi; Mortierellomycota; Mortierellomycetes; Mortierellales. The record is from RNAcentral.
AACACCUCGACUUUUUCUCAAAGUUGGACUUGAGCAAUCUCCAAACUCUCUCUCUCUAGGAGUGUGUGCGGAAUGCUUAAAAUGCAGGUGCAGCUGGGAGUUCCCCAUUUCAUUGUCCUAGGCUACAAGCAUUUCUGCUUAAUCCCGUCAAACCGGAUUAUACCUUUUUGCUGCAGCCAAACGAUAGUUGGGCCCCGAAACGCUGACUGAUGCAGGAUGAUUGACAACAGAUUUCGAUCUUUGUUCUGUUCC